CCUGAUGCAGCGACGCCGCGUGAGGGAUGACGGCCUUCGGGUUGUAAACCUCUUUCAGCAGGGACGAAGCGAAAGUGACGGUACCUGCAGAAGAAGCACCGGCCAACUACGUGCCAGCAGCCGCGGUAAUACGUAGGGUGCAAGCGUUGUCCGGAAUUACUGGGCGUAAAGAGCUCGUAGGCGGUUUGUCGCGUCGUCUGUGAAAACUCGAGGCUCAACCUCGAGCUUGCAGGCGAUACGGGCAGACUUGAGUACUGCAGGGGAGACUGGAAUUCCUGGUGUAGCGGUGAAAUGCGCAGAUAUCAGGAGGAACACCGGUGGCGAAGGCGGGUCUCUGGGCAGUAACUGACGCUGAGGAGCGAAAGCGUGGGUAGCGAACAGGAUUAGAUACCCUGGUAGUCCACGCCGUAAACGGUGGGCGCUAGGUGUGGGUUUCCUUCCACGGGAUCCGUGCCGUAGCUAACGCAUUAAGCGCCCCGCCUGGGGAGUACGGCCGCAAGGCUAAAACUCAAAGGAAUUGACGGGGGCCCGCACAAGCGGCGGAGCAUGUGGAUUAAUUCGAUGCAACGCGAAGAACCUUACCUGGGUUUGACAUAUACCGGAAAGCCGUAGAGAUACGGCCCCCCUUGUGG
This 632-nucleotide ribosomal RNA is filed under the name Rhodococcus sp. So2Pw_1273. RNAcentral's name for it is "bacterial SSU rRNA". It matches the Rfam family "Bacterial small subunit ribosomal RNA", at positions 382 to 1024 of the family's 1533-position model. The record is from RNAcentral. Lineage: Bacteria; Bacillati; Actinomycetota; Actinomycetes; Mycobacteriales; Nocardiaceae.